GAUGAACGCUGGCGGCGUGCCUAAUACAUGCAAGUCGAGCGAAUGGAUUAAGAGCUUGCUCUUAUGAAGUUAGCGGCGGACGGGUGAGUAACACGUGUGUAACCUGCCCAUAAGACUGGGAUAACUCCGGGAAACCGGGGCUAAUACAGGAUAACAUUUUGAACCGCAUGGUUCGAAAUUGAACGGCGGCUUCGGCUGUCACUUAUGGCUGGACCCCAGUCGCAUUAGCUAGUUGGUGAGGUAACGUCUCACCAAGGCAACGAUGCGUAGCCGACCUGAGAGGGUGAUCGGCCACACUGGGACUGAGACACGGCCCAGACUCCUACGGGAGGCAGCAGUAGGGAAUCUUCCGCAAUGGACGAAAGUCUGACGGAGCAACGCCGCGUGAGUGAUGAAGGCUUUCGGGUCGUAAAACUCUGUUGUUAGGGAAGAACAAGUGCUAGUUGAAUAAGCUGGCACCUUGACGGUACCUAACCAGAAAGCCACGGCUAACUACGUGCCAGCCGCCGCCGUAA
RNAcentral lists this ribosomal RNA (515 nucleotides) under uncultured bacterium. RNAcentral's name for it is "partial 16S ribosomal RNA". It matches the Rfam family "Bacterial small subunit ribosomal RNA", at positions 28 to 523 of the family's 1533-position model. The record is from RNAcentral.